Gossypium raimondii (Peruvian cotton) is the source of this 143-nucleotide non-coding RNA. NCBI's taxonomy places the organism in Eukaryota, Viridiplantae, Streptophyta, Magnoliopsida, Malvales, Malvaceae. The record is from Rfam.
UGUUAAAAAUUUUAUUCAUUUGUACUGUUAAAAAUUAGCGUAGCUCACGUAAUAACCAAAUAGUGACACAUAACGUAUCACAUGUAUCUUAUGUUGAUGUGCAAAGACAUUUCUACUAGUGAAAAUGGACGAAAGUUUUAACA